RNAcentral lists this ribosomal RNA (469 nucleotides) under uncultured bacterium. RNAcentral describes it as "partial 16S ribosomal RNA". It matches the Rfam family "Bacterial small subunit ribosomal RNA", at positions 28 to 507 of the family's 1533-position model. The record is from RNAcentral.
GACGAACGCUGGCGGCGUGCUUAACACAUGCAAGUCGAACGGUGAAGCGAGUGCUUGCACUCGUGGAUCAGUGGCGAACGGGUGAGUAACACGUGAGUAACCUGCCCAUCACUCUGGGAUAAGCACUGGAAACGGUGUCUAAUACUGGAUACGACCAACCCUUGCAUGGGGUGUUGGUGGAAAGAUUUAUCGGUGAUGGAUGGACUCGCGGCCUAUCAGCUUGUUGGCGGGGUAAUGGCCCACCAAGGCGACGACGGGUAGCCGGCCUGAGAGGGUGACCGGCCACACUGGGACUGAGACACGGCCCAGACUCCUACGGGAGGCAGCAGUGGGGAAUAUUGCACAAUGGGCGAAAGCCUGAUGCAGCGACGCCGCGUGAGGGAUGACGGCCUUCGGGUUGUAAACCUCUUCCAGCAGGGAAGAAGCGAAAGUGACGGUACCUGCAGAAGAAGCACCGGCUAACUACGUG